AUGUCCUCCACUUGCUGGCAAGGGCAGCGGAUAGCUUUCAUGUGUUUGAAGAGUCAGAUGAAUAUGCUUGAAUCUGCACGUUGGAGCAGGAAUUGAUGCCACUGUAUAUUGAUCUUUGAGAAAUCAUCAGUUACGUUUUGCAGUCUCUGCUUAAUGCUUCAUAUUUUACACAAUGCAUUUGAAGUGUUUGUUAGAAAAUGUUAAAAAGGCUUUGAUCAGGUUGCCUAAAGAGCGCAAUGCCUUAGAUUUGACAAAAGAACAGUGCAACGAGACCUGAAGUGCCUGUUGUCUUUGCUGUCUCUAAAAAUGAUCACAUUUCAUUUGCAACAUUCCAGUUCUGUUGUGAGAAACUGCAUUUGAAUACUUUUUUCUCGAAUUUCUUAAAUCUCUGCUGUUUGAGGUUGAACUUAAAAAAAGAGAUCAGAUUGAUCACGGUCCAGGGUGUUUCAAAGCAGUGAGUAAUCGCGAGUGUUUAAUUUUAUCUGUUGCAGUAUGCAUUGCAAGGCGGCUGUGUAAUCAAGCCUGUGAACUCAACAUCUGAAGGCAGAAUUCUGUUUCUGAUCACAUCCCCACUGAAGUCCAUCCAUUCACUGCACACGGAUACGUUGACGCGCUCAAGCUUGCUCUCCUUGAACAUUCCACGUCUGAGGGGCCAUGAAUAAUGCCACGGAGCCUGAGAGAAAGAGGGGGAAAAAGACUCCACUCCUGCUCCAGUUUAUCAACACACAGCUGUACUGUUGUUAGUUGCCAUGUUGCCUUCAAAGACCAGCAGACAUAUUCGUAUGACUCCUAUGACCGAUCUGGGGUUUCAAAUUCAGAAACAAACCUCACACUUAAUGAGAAGAAAGAAGAAAUCAAAUAA
This 862-nucleotide long non-coding RNA is filed under the name Scophthalmus maximus (turbot). RNAcentral describes it as "lncRNA (ENSSMAG00000029087.1)". Lineage: Eukaryota; Metazoa; Chordata; Actinopteri; Pleuronectiformes; Scophthalmidae. The record is from RNAcentral.